This is a long non-coding RNA of Arabidopsis thaliana (thale cress), 307 nucleotides long. RefSeq annotates it as other RNA. Lineage: Eukaryota; Viridiplantae; Streptophyta; Magnoliopsida; Brassicales; Brassicaceae. The record is from RefSeq. The transcript has a single exon.
UUCUAGCUCAUGUUCUUCAUGGAGAACAUGUUUCACCUUCUUAGGCCAAUCUUUUGCUAUCUCAUCGUACUUAGCUUCAAUCUCCUUCAAACGUUCCUCAGUAAAAGGGUAAGCAUCGGCUCCAUGGGCUACGACAAGGUCCCUUGCUUCUUUUGUUACGGUUUGCCCAGUUGGUCCCAGAGCUGCUAGCAUUGGGAUCCCACCAACCUUAAAGGUUUUUGCCAAGGAUGCUUUCCUAGGAUCACCAAAUGGAAGAGCCAGCCACGGCAUUUGCGAAUAGUACUCAUCGAAUGAUUCCUGGUCACGG